This 253-nucleotide ribosomal RNA is filed under the name uncultured bacterium. Its description in RNAcentral is "partial 16S ribosomal RNA". It matches the Rfam family "Bacterial small subunit ribosomal RNA", at positions 524 to 776 of the family's 1533-position model. The record is from RNAcentral.
UACGUAGGGUGCAGGCGUUAAUCGGAAUUACUGGGCGUAAAGCGUGCGCAGGCGGUUUCUUAAGUCAGAUGUGAAAUCCCCGGGCUUAACCUGGGAAUGGCAUUUGGGACUGCAAGGCUAGAGUACGGCAGAGGAGACUAGAAUUCCUGGUGUAGCGGUGAAAUGCGCAGAUAUCAGGAAGAACACCCGUGGCGAAGGCGGCUCUCUGGAACGCAACUGACGCUGAGACGCGAAAGCGUGGGGAGCAAACAGG